UGGGGGAUAUUGCACAAUGGGGGAAACCCUGAUGCAGCGACGCCGCGUGAGGGAAGACGGUUUUCGGAUUGUAAACCUCUGUCUUUGGGGACGAACAAAUGACGGUACCUGAGGAAUAAGCCACGGCUAACUACGUGCCAGCAGCCGCGGUAAUACGUAGGUGGCAAGCGUUAUCCGGAUUUACUGGGUGUAAAGGGCGUGUAGGCGGGACUGCAAGUCGGAUGUGAAAACCAUGGGCUCAACCUGUGGCCUGCAUUUGAAACUGUAGUCCUUGAGUACUGGAGAGGCAGACGGAAUUCCUAGUGUAGCGGUGAAAUGCGUAGAUAUUAGGAGGAACACCAGUGGCGAAGGCGGUCUGCUGGACAGCAACUGACGCUGAGGCGCGAAAGCGUGGGGAGCAAACAGGAUUAGAUACCC
This 417-nucleotide ribosomal RNA is filed under the name uncultured bacterium. RNAcentral's name for it is "bacterial SSU rRNA". It matches the Rfam family "Bacterial small subunit ribosomal RNA", at positions 355 to 787 of the family's 1533-position model. The record is from RNAcentral.